This 376-nucleotide unclassified non-coding RNA is filed under the name soil metagenome. RNAcentral's name for it is "partial contains 5.8S ribosomal RNA, internal transcribed spacer 2, and large subunit ribosomal RNA". The stretch from base 1 to 120 matches the Rfam family "5.8S ribosomal RNA", at positions 35 to 154 of the family's 154-position model. The record is from RNAcentral.
GAUGAAGAACGCAGCGAAAUGCGAUAAGUAAUGUGAAUUGCAGAAUUCAGUGAAUCAUCGAAUCUUUGAACGCAUCUUGCGCUCCUUGGUAUUUUGAGGAGCAUGCCUGUUUGAGUGUCAUUAAAUUCUCAACUACACUGACUUUGAAUUGGUGUGGCUUGGAUUUGGGGGGAAAAUUGUUGUGGGCUUUUUGUAUAGUCUGCUCCCCUGAAAUUGAUUAGCGGUACCUUUGUGGAACUGUCUACAGGUGUGAUAAUUAUCUACAUCUUAGACAUCUGCUGGAAUGCUGCUUUCUAAACCUUACUUGUAUUGACAAUCUUGACCUCAAAUCAGGUAGGACUACCCGCUGAACUUAAGCAUAUCAAUAAGCGGAGGA